RNAcentral lists this long non-coding RNA (200 nucleotides) under Hordeum vulgare. RNAcentral describes it as "long non-coding RNA (HVUL_LNC010794)". Lineage: Eukaryota; Viridiplantae; Streptophyta; Magnoliopsida; Poales; Poaceae. The record is from RNAcentral.
AGAGCCUUGCAUGAAUUUCACAAGCUCCACCUCUCUCCAACAUUCCAUGAAUUAGGAAGACGUAUAAUCUUUGAAACCAUUUAAUCAGCAGACAUCAUAGGUUUUGGUGUAAGAACCAGAGUCGGCGGAAAAUAUGUUUUAACAUCACAAAUUAGCUUUUUCCCAUGGCAUUCAGAGAGACAUUAUUACGGUUGCGGUAA